Molecule: ribosomal RNA, 305 nt
Filed under: uncultured bacterium
Lineage: Bacteria
Description: bacterial SSU rRNA
Rfam family: Bacterial small subunit ribosomal RNA
Source: RNAcentral
CACCCUACGGGGCGCAGCAGUGAGGAAUAUUGGUCAAUGGGCUUACGCCUGAACCAGCCAAGUCGCGUGAGGGAAGACUGCCCUAUGGGUUGUAAACCUCUUUUGCCAGGGAGCAAUUGGCGCUACGUGUAGCGUUAUCGAGAGUACCUGAAGAAAAAGCAUCGGCUAACUCCGUGCCAGCAGCCGCGGUAAUACGGAAGGUCCGGGCGUUAUCCGGAUUUAUUGGGUUUAAAGGGAGCGUAGGCCGGCUUUUAAGUCAGCUGUGAAAGUCCGCGGCUCAACCGUGGAAUUGCAGUUGAAACUGG